Molecule: ribosomal RNA, 449 nt
Filed under: uncultured bacterium
Lineage: Bacteria
Description: partial 16S ribosomal RNA
Rfam family: Bacterial small subunit ribosomal RNA
Source: RNAcentral
UGCGAACGCUGGCGGCAGGCCUAACACAUGCAAGUCGAACGAAGUCUUCGGACUUAGUGGCGGACGGGUGAGUAACACGUGGGAACGUGCCCUUUGGUACGGAAUAACUCAGGGAAACUUGAGCUAAUACCGUAUGUGCCCUUCGGGGGAAAGAUUUAUCGCCAUUGGAGCGGCCCGCGUCUGUUUAGCUAGUUGGUGAGGUAAAGGCUCACCAAGGCGACGAUCAGUAGCUGGUCUGAGAGGAUGAUCAGCCACAUUGGGACUGAGACACGGCCCAAACUCCUACGGGAGGCAGCAGUGGGGAAUCUUGCGCAAUGGGCGAGAGCCUGACGCAGCCAUGCCGCGUGAAUGAUGAAGGUCUUAGGAUUGUAAAAUUCUUUCACCGGGGACGAUAAUGACGGUACCCGGAGAAGAAGCCCCGGCUAACUUCGUGCCAGCCGCCGCUGUAA